UNNAUGGGUGCUUGCACCCAGGCGUCGAGCGGCGGACGGGUGAGUAACGCGUGAGAAUCUGCCCAUUUGUGGGGGAUAACUCGGGGAAACUCGAGCUAAUACCGCAUAAUCCCUACGGGGGAAAGCAGGGGACCUUCGGGCCUUGUGCAGAUGGAUGAGCUCGCGUCGGAUUAGCUUGUUGGUGAGGUAAAGGCUCACCAAGGCGACGAUCUGUAGCUGGUCUGAGAGGAUGAUCAGCCACACCGGGACUGAGACACGGCCCGGACUCCUACGGGAGGCAGCAGUGGGGAAUCUUGGACAAUGGGGGCAACCCUGAUCCAGCCAUGCCGCGUGUGUGAAGAAGGCCUUCGGGUUGUAAAGCACUUUCAGUAGGGAGGAAGGCUUACC
RNAcentral lists this ribosomal RNA (387 nucleotides) under uncultured bacterium. RNAcentral's name for it is "bacterial SSU rRNA". It matches the Rfam family "Bacterial small subunit ribosomal RNA", at positions 69 to 457 of the family's 1533-position model. The record is from RNAcentral.